RNAcentral lists this long non-coding RNA (1047 nucleotides) under Corvus moneduloides (New Caledonian crow). Its description in RNAcentral is "lncRNA (ENSCMUG00000018170.1)". The record is from RNAcentral. Lineage: Eukaryota; Metazoa; Chordata; Aves; Passeriformes; Corvidae.
AUGCUGGGACUACUGGGAAUGCUGGGCAUACUGGGAACGCUGGAGUCGGUGAAGAGUGAAAGUCCCCAGCCCCAGGGCCCCCACCCGCAGGGUCCUGCCCGUCCCUUGGAGGUGGCCCAGCCCGGGGCUCUGUGGGUGCUGUGGGGGGCUGCAGUCCCUGUCCCGCCGCAGCGGCGGGGGGAUGGCGGCGGGAGGGGGGGUUGUUUACAGGAAGCCCUUGGCUCUGGCCGUGUCUCCGGCACCGGAUUGCCGGGACCUCCCGGUUCCGCUCGGCUCGGUGAGGCGACGGGCAGAAGCCGCCUCAUUUCCCCUUCCCCUCCCGGCCAAGCCCAGGAAGCUCCCGGCGCCUUGGCACCACCCUGUCGUGUCCCCCCGGGACCCCCCAGGCCAGCACCCAGCACCCAGGAGCCCCCACCGCAUCCCACCCAUCCCUCCCUGGUGCAUCGCUGCGAUCCCACGUGCCCAAGUCGGGGGCACAAAGCCAAGCGGCUGCUUUUGGGAAUGGGGGUGGGAUUCGGUGCCAAGCGUGGUGUGGGAUUUACCCCGGGUGGGCACAAGCCCUGGCCCCCGAGCCCGGACCCCUUCGGUGCCAGUGCGGUGCUGGGUGGGCCGGGGUCACGCCAGGCCACACGGGCGCUCACAUGCCAAAGCCCGCCAGCUCCUGUGCUGCUCCUGGGAGGGCAUUCCCCUUGGGAAACGAGCCGGGACCCGUCUCCAUCCCAUCCCAACAGGCAUUACCACAGCUGGAGCUGGCACCGCCCAGGAGCCGGGUGCCCCUACAAGGGGGACGAUGGCACCCAGGACCCCCUUGGCAUGGCGGGGUGGCAGCGGGAGCGUGGCGACAGCUCCGGCGGGCUCGGCGCUUCCAUAGGCCUGGCACGGUGCCCGCCUGGGACGCUGCCCAGCCGGAAAGCCCUGUGCCACCCCGCUCUCCCCCAUCCCUCCGGCACCUCCCAGACAAUUGUCCCCCCGCGGCGCCCGCUCGUCCCUGCUGCCACCGCCUCCCUCCUUGCAGCACUGCAGCGGUCCCGAAAAGCUCAUUUUUGA